Molecule: long non-coding RNA, 2526 nt
Organism: Drosophila yakuba
Lineage: Eukaryota; Metazoa; Arthropoda; Insecta; Diptera; Drosophilidae
Exons: 2
Source: RefSeq, a predicted model, not a curated record
UUUAAUGGUUAGUAUAAAUUCAAAUUAAUUGAAUUAUAUUAUUUUUCUACUAUUUUUAACUUCUGGACAAUCGACGAAUUCCAUUGCUGGUCCCAUUAAUAAACAGAAAAACAACAACAUCGUAGUGCGUGCAUGCAUUUGUAGGCAGAAGGGGGCGGGGUAGCAGGGGGAGGAGUUCGGAGCGAUUAGGAGAAGCGCGUCUAAGUUCAAGGCCAAGUAGUUCACAACAUAAGCAGUGAAGGCAGCAGCAACAACAACAAAGGCGAAAAAGCAGCAGCAGCAGGGCGAGAGUGCGAAAGUGAGGAUGGAGAGGGAAAAGAAGCAAACGCAGCUGAAAAAAGUGCACAGAAAAUUGUUUGGCUAUGUGAAUGUGUGUGUGUGCUGUUUCGCAGCGAAAAAGGUCAAUGACACCUGUAUGUUUGUCUCGCUCGGCUCACACACACACAGGGUUAUCACCGGCCACUCUCUGCACUCGCGCCCUCUCUUUCUGGCCUUCGCGCACCUACGUUUAGACAUGUGGUCAGAACAAUUUUUGUUUUUUUCUCGCUUUAAAAGGCAUUUGUGUUGGUGGCGGCAUGUGUGUUGUUGUUGUUCGUUUCGGCACUGUUAAUUAGUGUGGCCAAAUUAUGCGCCAAAGCUGACAACAACUCGAUGGUCAUACGUCAUCAACAAUAGCCGGACAAACAAUUUCCGGUUUUUAGCCCCACCAUUAAAAAGCCAAUAUCAGAAAUAACAUACACGAAAAUAAAAUAAUAAAAAAAAACCGAAAAACAAAAGCAGGCGCAACAACAACAAACAUGGCCCGGGUUCCGUCAUUGCCUCAUCCUCUAUAGAUCUCCUCUGUUCUUCUGCUUUAUUUUGGUUCUAUUUCAGCAAUUUGUUAUUGCGGCGACUUAUUUUUGUCGCAAGCAUGCACACACACUCGUAUUUAUGUUCGCAUACGCACACUCACACAGUGCAGGCGGGCAAACUCGAUUUAAAAAUAAAUAAAUUACGCACAAAUACAAAUACAUUGGCCAACAUUCUUCGGGCCUCGUCAAAAAUAUAGCAUGAUUAAUACAAAAAUGCGCAAUUCUGUGGUGUUUUUUUUACUUCGGUUUUGCCUGUUGUUUUAACCCCACCUCCCAAUUUUUUAUGGCAUUUCUCUCUUAUUAUACAAUAACAACGCGUAUAUAAUAAGAGCACAGCAAGUGGGCAGUCCAACGGCAUCGCAAAUAGCAACAACAAGCGCAGCGGCACGCCAAUUAGUGCUUAUGCUUUUUAAUUAGUAAGUGGACCCAUCCCCAAUUUCCCACCUCCCCAAAUUUACGCCCACAAAAACCCCUUAGCCGUAGUAUUUCCUCGCCAGUUAUAUGGGAAAUGUCUUUAUAUUUUUCACUAUUUGAGGUCACCCACAGACCCCAGAUCUAUUGGACAGCUUUUGUUGUGGAUGUAACAGGUUUCAAAGUCCCUAAAUCGUGGGUGUGUCUAAAUCUCGUUCUUUCAGAAGAAAGACCCAUUUUUAAUUCCGAAUUUAGUCACAAUAAUCUCAAACUGUCUAAGUUCAAUUAAAUGUAGCAAAAAGUGGAAUUAAAUAUUAAAUGUUUGUUAUUUUAAAAGCACCUAAUGUUUUUACAAAAAUUUGAUUAUUAUCAAAUUGAAAUCGUAUUUAUAAGGUAAAAGUUAGAACAAAUAUGCUAAGCUGCUUGAAAAUUGUUUUGGUUUCUAAUGCGAAAACGUGUGAGAGCUUUAAAAGUAUACUAAAUAAAUUGGGCUGGUUUUGCACAGCUAAUGGUCACUCUAACUACGAGCUCCAAAAUAAAAUUGAAAACUGCAAUGUCAUGACUUUUUGACAAACACUAAAAUUAUGGUGUCCAACUUAGUUGUUAAUUAAACACGUUAAAAAAGGGCGUAAACAACCGUUUUCCAACAAAUGAUUUAACAAAUCGACAGGCGGUACUAAAAAGGAAAAAGUAACAAAAUAAAAGCGCUUUUUAGGAAAAAUACAAGUAUUGACGGGAUGUUAAAACGCUAACACUACUUUUGGAGUUUAAUGGAACUCGUUUAAUACAUUUAAUAACAUUAUUUUAAUGAAUAUACAUGAAUACAUUUUUAUAUUUUAAAAUUUACCAAGGACAAUAGAUAUAACAUUUUUAGUAAGAAUACUAGUAAUUUCAUGAAAUACUAUUUUAACAAUCGUGUUAAUUACUCUUUUAGUGCUGGAUUUAUUUAAUGCAAAACUUAUUUGUACCGUUCUUCAAAAUGCGUGCAACAAUAAAAAACAACCAGGAAAACAACAACAAAAAAACAAAAACCGGCAGCAAUCGAAAUUCUUUCAUUUCCUUUGCGCCUCUCUUCGCGCAGCCGCUCUCCGCAUGCCAGAGAGAGAAAGAGAACAUGUUGGUGCGCCGCUCAUUCACAAAACGGAGACGUGAAGCGGUGUGCGAAGAAGAAGAACAACAACAGCCGAAGAUAUGAUAGAUAUGGAACAACAACAAAAGGAACAAGAGAAACCGGACGAAGAGAGGAGAGGAGAGGAGAGGAGAG